UAUUAAAAUUUAUAUAUAUUUCUAUUACUAAAAACUAGCAUGAUUAACAAAAUAACUAGAUAGUUAUACAUGAUAAGCUUUAUGUCUCUCAUGCUGACUUGCAAUGAUCAAUUUUUAAUAGUACAAAUGGAUGUAAUUUUUAACA
Gossypium hirsutum (cotton) is the source of this 145-nucleotide non-coding RNA. The record is from Rfam. Lineage: Eukaryota; Viridiplantae; Streptophyta; Magnoliopsida; Malvales; Malvaceae.